RNAcentral lists this ribosomal RNA (253 nucleotides) under uncultured bacterium. RNAcentral describes it as "partial 16S ribosomal RNA". It matches the Rfam family "Bacterial small subunit ribosomal RNA", at positions 524 to 776 of the family's 1533-position model. The record is from RNAcentral.
UACGUAGGCAGCGAGCGUUGUUCGGAAUUACUGGGCGUAAAGAGUGUGUAGGCGGUGUUCUAAGUCUGUUGUGAAAUCUCCCGGCUCAACUGGGAGGGUGCGGCGGAAACUGGAGUGCUCGAGUGUGGGAGAGGUAAGCGGAAUUCCUGGUGUAGCGGUGAAAUGCGUAGAUAUCAGGAGGAACACCUGUGGUGUAGACAGCUUACUGGACCACGACUGACGCUGAGGCACGAAAGCGUGGGUAGCAAACAGG